GCUGGGUGUGGUGGCGCACGCCUGUAAUCCCAGCAGCUCUGGAGGCUGAGACAGGAGCAUCUCGAAUUCAAAACCAGCCUCAGCAAAAGCAAGAUGCUAAGCAACUCAGUGAGACCCUAUCUCUA
This 125-nucleotide small RNA is filed under the name Marmota monax (woodchuck). Lineage: Eukaryota; Metazoa; Chordata; Mammalia; Rodentia; Sciuridae. The record is from RNAcentral.